CAUCCGUUUUCCCCUGAAACCACCGACCAGCUUACAGCAUCAGUCCCAUCAGCCUCCACACCAACACCAACAACAACUCAGAGUCAAAGCUCCAGUUCAGGAAGUUUCACACCAUCAGUUUCCCCUGAAACCACCGACCAGCCUUACAGGUUACUUCCUGCCUCUGGUUGUCUGUGUGAC
Long non-coding RNA from Sebastes umbrosus (honeycomb rockfish), 180 nucleotides. RefSeq lists it as uncharacterized. The transcript has 3 exons. Lineage: Eukaryota; Metazoa; Chordata; Actinopteri; Perciformes; Sebastidae. The record is from RefSeq and is a predicted model, not a curated record.